ACUUUUGUUAACUAUUUUAUUUCAUUGUUGCACUUUCUAUCGCGCUUCUUAUGCCUAAGUUCAAUAAAAACUUUAGUGAAUAAUAAACACACACACAAAACCGUAAAACAAAUUCUAAGAAUAUUAUAUGUCACUUAAUCCAUAAAAUAUCCAUGUCCAAAAACCAAACUCAAAUAUGUUUGAAAAGCAACCAUCAAUUUGCCUCGCAUCGACUUAAAUCGAUACGAAGAACCUAUCCCUCUUCUCACGCUGUCUCUGGACAAACCAUUACUAUCACCACCAUUUACGCUGGAAGAGAAGGAAAAAAAUGAAAGAACUUGGUAGUUGUAAAUCGAGUGAUUCGCAGAAAAAACAGAGAGGAAGAUCGAAGAAGCAGAAACCGACGUUUAAACUAUUCACCAAGAACAGCUGGCCGAAGGUAAUGAUAUCUCGCGACAGUAUCAUUAACAAGAAGAUCAAAGAUUCCUCCGGAUCUCCAAGUUUGUCGUUUAUCGAAGAAUCUUCGAGCGAGCUGCAAGAAACGGAAGAAAAAGAUGCCUGUCACGUGGGACAUUUAUAUUGUGAUGAAAAUGCCACGAAUUUCAAGGAGGAACUGGAUGUUUGUUUGAUCAGUAGCUCCAGCGAAAUUCAAGGAAGUCUUAAAGUGAGCGAGACUUCGAGAGGAAACGAGAAAGUUUUGAAAAAGUUUGAUGGGGCGGUCGAAGAAAAUGAUUUUGAUUGCGCGCCGGAAGAAAGUGCAAUUUCAAAUACAUGGGAACAACAGACGCCUAUUUUUGUUGAUUUAACAGCUGAUGAGAAAAGCACGUGGAAACAAACGAUUUUGAAGCGAUUCUGUGAUGUAAAGGCAGACAUGACGAAUGAAAAGGAAGAUGAGAACGAGAAAUGCACUACGAACAUCGCAUUAGAACCUCGAAUUAUAAUAGCAGAUAGUUCAAGCAAAUUAAAUUGUAAUGGAAACAACAGUUUAGCAACUGCCUUACGAGACCGUGGGCCAUGCUUCAUACCGGUACAACCAAAUCGUUCUUUACCUAUUCUUCCGGCACCGUCCGUACCUACGAGAUUCAUUCGAAAAGAUUCAUCAUCUCUCAUCUUACCAAAAUCUACCGUGGGCUUAGUAGAAGUAGAAUUAAUGAAAUCAAACAGUACAUUGUCGAAUAAAAAAGAUAAUAUUUCUAAAAAACAAAUAACAUCAAAAGAUACCGUGAGCUCGAUGGCUUACUUUGUUCCACAAAUUUCAAGCGUGGAAAGUCUGAGUAUGAUAAAGAAAAGAAAUGAUAACGAUAUGGAACACGAGACUAAUGUUAAAGAAAGAAGGAAAAAAAAAAAAUCGCAGGAAGCAAAUUCUAGACAAAAUAAAGAGGAAUGUAUGGAAAGUUCGAUUAAAGAGUUCCUAACAAAUUUCUGUGGCUCGAAUGCAACUGAAGGCGUACAGAAUCUUUGUACUGACAAGUGCGUUAGAGCUGCCUCCACGACGAAAGGAGAUGAAAAAAAUGGAAAUAAAUUGGUUCCUCCGUUGAGACUGAAGAAAGUCGUGCAUACAGAAACAGAGAGAUACGACGAUUCUCAAAUCGUCACGGGGUCGGAACACGAAUCAAACUAUAGAAUCAUCACAGACACAGCGUCUCAAUCACCACCUAGUCCAAAUUCUAAUAACUGGAACGAUAUACUCUUCGAGAAAGACACAGAUUUUACAACUUUAAAUACCGAUAACUACAAACUAAAGUACAGGCGUAAUAGAUUAAAACAGAAACUACGUGAACUACGAGAUAAAGCUUUGGAAUUAGCUAAGCAAAUGGCGAGUGAUUCGAACUCUCAACAAAAUAUCAGAUUAAGGCAAGUGAUGAAUCGUUACGAAAAGCAAAUAGAAAAUCUAUCAAAAUUACAUAACAGACUGUCUGCAGCCCUCUCGAUCUCGAAGGAAGCGAUUAAUGAAAAUAAUGAUAGCCUGAAUUCUUCUGAUAACAAGUAUCCAUGUAUAAAUUUAAACGAGAGAAACGCAGAUUUUUCGGCGAAUAACAAUUCUCCGGUGUCAUCACCUGAACCACCUAAAUUGUCACCACGAUCAUCUCUAGAUUGUCAUAGUAUUCUGCCAGAAGAGGUUCGAAAUAGUCCACCAAUUUUACCAAAGAUAUGUUUAACUAUCUCGUCGAGUCAAGACUCGGUGGAAGAAGAGUUACAAGUCGUUGAAAGGAAAGUUUGGCCUGUGAACGAAGAAUUGAUGAAAUCAACGUUUUCUACAGAUCCACUUCCUGGGGAUUUAACUGAUUCCGUGGACAAAGAUACUCCAGAUAUUGAGAAACAUGUACAGACUAUGCCUGUAGUCCAUAAAAAUAAUAUCAAUAUCGAUAUAGAAAGUUCUAAUUCUAGUGUAAAUAAGAGAGCUUUCAAUCAUUCGAACAAGGUUAUUCAAUCACCAGAGAACAACCAUGCAGCUCGGGAAAAGAAAGACGAAAGAAAUAAAUCGAUCAAAGGAUUUACUCAGUGUCGUCUUGUGAUCCAAGAACCAGAAAAAAUCAAGUGUUUGGAGUUUCCGGAUGUUGGACCCAUAAUAAGUUCUGUAGCUAAUUGCGUGGAAAUACCAACAACUGUUCAAGGAAACAAAUCGUUUGAGGUGAUAUCUAACAAACAGUUCUCUUUGUCAAGGGAUCAUACAGUACAACCUAAUUUUUAUGAAUCCAAUCAAGAGAAAGUACCAUUUUCGACAAAUCAUGAAGAUAGUAUAAAUUCGCAAAAGGUUUCAUCGAGUUCGGGUCAGCCAACUCAAUUUGAUUCUUCACAAACGAUGUUGAAUCAGGAAAAGUUCGCGUAAGUUAAAUGAAAAAUUAAUAUAUUUUAUUAUCUAUAUUUCUACCUUACAUUUUAUGCAUACAGGUUGCGACAGAGCCGUAAAGGAGAAGAAAUUCCGGCUGAUUCUGUACAGAAGAGUAGCGGGAAUCAUUCUAUAACCGAACAAUUUCCUACUCUUGGUAACUGGUUCGCUCGAAUGUCGAAAAAGCAAGCUUCAAUAACCAAACCCAAAUUGCAAGCCACAGAAAAUGUGCCGUUUGUACCAGGAGAAAACACUACACGCCAAAUUUCUGGGUCUGAAAUACCAAAGAUGGUUGGACCUAAUAUCAAUAAUCACAUAAUAAAUUCAACGCCUCAACGCGGUACAGAGAAAUGGCAAUAUCAUCAGCAACAGCAACUACAACAUGUUGCGGCAUCCGUGACUCUUUCGCAACCUGUUGCAGCAGUUCCUCCUUUACGACCUGGUGCUUGUCCACCAAUUCCUAUGACUCAAUUUUACUCGAAUAAUUACGCUAUCGAUCCUUACAACAGUACCGCCUUAAGUUAUCAUCCACCAAUUUGUCCUUACGGUCCUUAUCCAUAUCACCCACGAUUACACUCCGGUUCCUUACCAUUUCAUUUCCCUGUGCAAGAAAGCUUGCGAUCAAUGCACCAUAUGGAUAAACGUUUCCCCACAAUACAAGAUCCAGUUGUAAGGUAUCCCUCACCAUCGACAAACACUCUACAGCAUUCGGGUAAUUUGGAGUUUGAUCGUCUUCGAGGAAACUCUACCACUAGCAACAUUGGUACCACAACUUGUUUACCAUCGUUAUUUCUAUCACCACCGUCUUUAUCAACUUCUCAUCAGACCCUGCCUCGAAAUUCUUUAAUCGGCUAUCCGACAAACAAUCAAUUUUCUCGGAACAGAAUGAUACCGGAUGUUGUCGCCGCAGCAGCAGCCGCUGCUGUUGUCGCUGCUGCUUCCUUUGAUAGGCAACGAGAUACGUUGACUUAUAAUAGAACCGAGACGGAUGCAUUAUCGCCUACUGGUAUUCCAAACGUCAUUGACAGAGAACCACCUCACGUAUCGGGCGCUACCAGAUCAAUUAUUAAUCAUGACGUAACUAAUCUAACUCAAGAUAGUAAUUUUAACAAAGAAAGUCAUGAAAACACUAAGUAUCAACAAAUGCAAAAUUUUGUGUUCGACCGAUUGGCAUUUGUGAAAACCACGGAUAAUUUUGCGCAAACAAAUUCAGUUAUUAAUAAUGAUGCGCAGUCGACGAUGACGUCUAUUGUUCCAACAGGACAAUAUCGAAUGCCAUUAAUUCAUUCACAUGCACAAUUAUCGAAAAAUGUAUUAGAAACUGAAACCAGGAAUUGCGAGACACCGCAUCUAGGUAAAGUGAAUCGUAGUCCGAAUAGUUCACAUAAUCUCACAUGUUUAAAUUGUGGUAUUAUCGGACCAAAGUUUAAAUGUUUAGGAUGUGAAAUGGCCUUUUAUUGUGAUGAACGGUGCCAAGAGAAACAUUGGUAUGUCCACGUACAAAGAUGCCCAAAGAAAAUGCCAAAAUUAAAGAAAGUCACAUAAAAUUAAUUAGGUUAGAAAUAUAAAUUUUGGAAUAUUGAUUUGAUGCACAAAACGUAUUUUAUGUGGAGUAAAAAAGAUAUUUUUCUAUAGCUUUUUCAUACAAAAGUAAACAUAGUUUUCAAAUGUAGUAUCAUAUAAUAAUACAACAAUAACAAUAAUAUAUAUGUUUAACAUUUUAUAAUAUAACUUUGUUGUGCAAUAAGACUGGUAUACUUCGUAUCAUACACAUCUAAUAUAGUAAAACACUACUACAUUCGCACACAUAUGUACCUGAUACAUGUUUAAUAAAAAAAUAUAUCUUGAUUACUCA
RNA transcript from Bombus terrestris (buff-tailed bumblebee), 4664 nucleotides. RefSeq lists it as uncharacterized. The record is from RefSeq and is a predicted model, not a curated record. The transcript has 6 exons. NCBI's taxonomy places the organism in Eukaryota, Metazoa, Arthropoda, Insecta, Hymenoptera, Apidae.